RNAcentral lists this long non-coding RNA (557 nucleotides) under Anser brachyrhynchus (Pink-footed goose). Its description in RNAcentral is "lncRNA (ENSABRG00000007285.1)". Lineage: Eukaryota; Metazoa; Chordata; Aves; Anseriformes; Anatidae. The record is from RNAcentral.
UUUAAACUGACACCUGGUUUAUUUAUUUCUAGGCGAUAAUUAAAAUGAAACGCUGCGCCCCCGCCGCCGCCACCCCGCCACCCGCCUCCCUCCCCUCCGCCGCCGCCGCCGCCGCCGGCGCCCGCCGGGCGCGGGCAGGAUCCGGCCCCCGGGGGCCGCCCGGUGCCGGCCGCCCCUGCCCUGCCCCGCAGCGCCCGGGGGCUGCAGCCGGCCGGCCGGGCGGAGAAGUUUCCCGGGGGCCUCCCCCCCCCUCCACCUGCACCCCUGCGCCCUCGCCCCGCUCCCACCGGAGCCCCGCCGUCGUAGUGAUUGCUGUUCUUCUGCCACCUCCAUCCGCAAUGGCAACUUCACCUCCAAGUGCAGACAGCUUGGCCGUCUUCAAAGGUGGGUCUCAAGGCUUCCUCCAGGAGGGCUCACAGGAGCAGGAACGGCCUUCACCCUGUAGGAACACGUCCUCCUGUGGCACUUCCAGGCCCCUCGGAUCCCGUGGGUUGGCUGCUCCCUCAGCUCCCCUAACAGCACCUAGCGUCCGCUCUGCCCCUAUCAGCCACCUGUGA